RNAcentral lists this long non-coding RNA (246 nucleotides) under Drosophila guanche. Lineage: Eukaryota; Metazoa; Arthropoda; Insecta; Diptera; Drosophilidae. The record is from RNAcentral.
UGUUCGGACCUGCUGGUCCUUCCCUACGGAAUGGUGUUCUUAUACCCGGUACUCGAAGAGUAAAUAGGGGAAUAACGGAUGUACAGUUUAGUUAAAUGAAAUAGUAGUGCCGCGCCUCACAAUUUUCACCACUAUUUUUGAGACCCUUCCAGUCUUUCGAAUUGAACAAGUUAUACCUUUUUGGAUAGCCAGAAAUGUACACAUUAGAACCCAGAAUCCUGGACUGCUUGCAUUCCAUCUUCUUGU